RNAcentral lists this ribosomal RNA (841 nucleotides) under Trichococcus shcherbakoviae. It matches the Rfam family "Bacterial small subunit ribosomal RNA", at positions 8 to 822 of the family's 1533-position model. Lineage: Bacteria; Bacillati; Bacillota; Bacilli; Lactobacillales; Carnobacteriaceae. The record is from RNAcentral.
AGAGUUUGAUCCUGGCUCAGGACGAACGCUGGCGGCGUGCCUAAUACAUGCAAGUCGAACGGUCUUUUCUAUGGAAGCUUGCUUCCACUGAGAAGAUAGUGGCGAACGGGUGAGUAACACGUGGGUAACCUGCCCAUAAGAGGGGGAUAACAUCCGGAAACGGGUGCUAAUACCGCAUAGUUUUCUUGAUCGCAUGAUCGGGAAAGGAAAGACGGCCUUUGUGCUGUCGCUUAUGGAUGGACCCGCGGCGUAUUAGUUAGUUGGUGAGGUAACGGCUCACCAAGACGAUGAUACGUAGCCGACCUGAGAGGGUGAUCGGCCACAUUGGGACUGAGACACGGCCCAAACUCCUACGGGAGGCAGCAGUAGGGAAUCUUCCGCAAUGGACGAAAGUCUGACGGAGCAACGCCGCGUGAGUGAAGAAGGUUUUCGGAUCGUAAAACUCUGUUGUCAGAGAAGAACAAGUUGGAGAGUAACUGCUCCGGCCUUGACGGUAUCUGACCAGAAAGCCACGGCUAACUACGUGCCAGCAGCCGCGGUAAUACGUAGGUGGCAAGCGUUGUCCGGAUUUAUUGGGCGUAAAGCGAGCGCAGGCGGUUCCUUAAGUCUGAUGUGAAAGCCCACGGCUCAACCGUGGAAGGUCAUUGGAAACUGGGGAACUUGAGUGCAGAAGAGGAGAGUGGAAUUCCAUGUGUAGCGGUGAAAUGCGUAGAUAUAUGGAGGAACACCAGUGGCGAAGGCGACUCUCUGGUCUGUAACUGACGCUGAGGCUCGAAAGCGUGGGGAGCAAACAGGAUUAGAUACCCUGGUAGUCCACGCCGUAAACGAUGAGUGCUAAGUG